GUGUGUGCUGAGCCAGGCUGUGGCCAGACAUUCCGGUUUGUAUCAGAUUUCAGUCGUCACAAGCGGAAGACCGGACAUUCUGCAAAGAAGAGCAGAGGGUAGUAAGUGUAAAGGAAGAAGAUUGCUUGUUAACAUUUGCUAAUGAACCUGUUGUUGAAAUUUAGAGGGUAGGGCUAAGAUAGGUUUAGGAUGUUCCUUGUCCUGUAACUGUCAAUUGUUAGUCAAUUGUCAUUCAGAGCAACUGUUAAAUUUGUGUUGCCCUGGGGCUUCAUUGGGCCAAUUUAUUUAUGAAUUGCUCGAAUCUUGAAGCAGAUUAACCUCUAUUCAAUUUCCCUUCAACAUCUCUUUAAUCUCUUUGAAUGAAAUUCUUUUCAAUACUGAAGAGAAUUUUUUGCAGUAUUUCAAUUUAUUCGCCGUAACAGAUUCCGUGUGUGUGCUUUUUGAUUUGUUUCAUGAUUUUUUUUUUUUAAUUUACAGCUUGAUAGCAAUAAUCGUUUCUUGUCUACGUUAUAAAAGAAUUAGACACCUGCGCUGAAAUUUGUAUGGAGCUAGGGGCAAUGCUAUUUACAAUUUAUGACUUACAAAAUUCUACAUAACGUUUGCACGUUAAAAAUUUUGAAAAGACAAAAAUGCACAUGACUCUUUUGUUUUUUCUUUUUAAAUAAGGACACGAUUUGUCUACAUCGGCAUCAAAUAGUUCUAUAAUUUCUGUCAAACAAUUAAAAUAUUCUUAAAUGCCUUUGACACAUAAUGUUUCAUAUAAUAGUAUUAGUAAAUUAUAUUAAAUUACAAUUUUCAACAUAAUCCAAGUCUUAGGAAAAUGGUUUCUUACCAUUAGAAUUAAAUCUUAAUUUAAAUAAUAUUAGGAUAAAAUAUUAGUAUAUAUACAAUAUAGUUUUUAUCAAUCAGAAUAUAUGAUACUAAAUGAUAUCUUUUUAUAAUUUUAUUCACAUGAAUAUGGACCUUACUCAAUUAAAUUAAAAAAUUUGCCGUCACUUCAAAAAUAUUGAAUAAUUAGGGACCCAAAAAAUAUAUAUAGUAAGAAAUAACACACAUUAUGAGUGUUCAUAAUUCAAUCUGAUCCGCUUAAUCUGUCUGAUCCGUAAAAAUUUAAUCUGUAAAAAUUCGAUUCAUGGAUUGGUGGAUUGGAUUUGAUUGAAAAUUUAAAAAUUCGUAGUCGAUGGAUUGUAUAUGGAUUUACUUCUGUAAAUCUGCAAAGAUUUGUGAAUCCGUAAAAAAAUAAAAAAAAUUAUUGAAUAAAAAAAUUUAAUUUGUAAAUAUGGGGGAUGUGGGAAGAAGUUUUUCUCACACAAAUACUUAGUGCAGCACCGUCGUGUUCAUUUGGAUGAUCGUCCCCUUAAAUGCCCCUGGAAGGGAUGCAAGAUGACUUUCAAGUGGGCAUGGGCGCGUACUGAGCACAUAAGGGUUCACACAGGUGCUCGACCUUAUGUGUGUGCUGAGCCAGGCUGUGGCCAGACAUUCCGGUUUGUAUCAGAUUUCAGUCGUCACAAGCGGAAGACCGGACAUUCUGCAAAGAAGAGCAGAGGGUAGUAAGUGUAAAGGAAGAAGAUUGCUUGUUAACAUUUGCUAAUGAACCUGUUGUUGAAAUUUAGAGGGUAGGGCUAAGAUAGGUUUAGGAUGUUCCUUGUCCUGUAACUGUCAAUUGUUAGUCAAUUGUCAUUCAGAGCAACUGUUAAAUUUGUGUUGCCCUGGGGCUUCAUUGGGCCAAUUUAUUUAUGAAUUGCUCGAAUCUUGAAGCAGAUUAACCUCUAUUCAAUUUCCCUUCAACAUCUCUUUAAUCUCUUUGAAUGAAAUUCUUUUCAAUACUGAAGAGAAUUUUUUGCAGUAUUUCAAUUUAUUCGCCGUAACAGAUUCCGUGUGUGUGCUUUUUGAUUUGUUUCAUGAUUUUUUUUUUUUAAUUUACAGCUUGAUAGCAAUAAUCG
Molecule: long non-coding RNA, 1943 nt
Filed under: Citrus sinensis (sweet orange)
Lineage: Eukaryota; Viridiplantae; Streptophyta; Magnoliopsida; Sapindales; Rutaceae
Description: long non-coding RNA (CSIN_LNC001921)
Source: RNAcentral